GUGCAUUAUAGCCACCAGCGAGAAGUUGUUCCUGAACUUCUGUGAUACCCAAAACGUUGAGGUUUUCUGCUGAUCCUUUCACGUGCAAAACCGUAAUUAAAAAGUUCUGUGCUUGCCAAGAACGAAUCACAACAGGGAUGUCAUCUUCGUCAAUAUUUGGAUCACCAGCAGAUUGGCCCAACAGCUCAAAUAACAGCCCUUCAGCCACCCUUACUGGGACCUCAUACAAGAGGUGUUUCAUUUUUUCACUUAUUAGCCGACCUUCAUCUCUUAAGGCAACACUAAUUGCG
Molecule: unclassified non-coding RNA, 290 nt
Filed under: Hevea brasiliensis (rubber tree)
Lineage: Eukaryota; Viridiplantae; Streptophyta; Magnoliopsida; Malpighiales; Euphorbiaceae
Source: RNAcentral